GUUGAGAGGAAUAUUGUCUGGCUCGAGGUCGUCGAAUAGUAUAUUGAUGAAAUUAUUCGGUGGUUAAAGUUUUCAAAUGGGUGGUUGAUGGAAAUUCAUUCUCUCUAACCUUAAAUGAUUCUCGGACCAGGCUUUAUUCCUUCCAGC
Non-coding RNA from Lupinus albus (white lupine), 147 nucleotides. The record is from the annotation of a GenBank genome assembly. NCBI's taxonomy places the organism in Eukaryota, Viridiplantae, Streptophyta, Magnoliopsida, Fabales, Fabaceae.